This 292-nucleotide ribosomal RNA is filed under the name uncultured bacterium. Its description in RNAcentral is "partial 16S ribosomal RNA". It matches the Rfam family "Bacterial small subunit ribosomal RNA", at positions 505 to 796 of the family's 1533-position model. The record is from RNAcentral.
GUGCCAGCCGCCGCGGUAAUACGGAGGGUGCAAGCGUUGUUCGGAAUUACUGGGCGUAAAGCGCGUGUAGGCGGUCAUUUAUGUCGGGUGUGAAAUCCCUGGGCCUAACCCAGGAAGUGCGCCCGAAACUGGAUGACUUGAGUACGAUAGAGGGGGAUGGAAUUCCCAGUGUAGAGGUGAAAUUCGUAGAUAUUGGGAAGAACACCGGUGGCGAAAGCGGUUCCCUGGAUCGAUACUGACGCUAAGACGCGAAAGCGUGGGGAGCAAACAGGAUUAGAAACCCGGGUAGUCC